GGGAUGUGAUGAGUGGUCAAUGUUUGCAAUUAAAUAUGCGAGAAGGGCGUUCCAACUUAGCCUAGUCACCACAAUUUGGAUGCUCUAAUUUAUACCAAAUUGUUCCU
Lycium barbarum (goji berry) is the source of this 107-nucleotide small nucleolar RNA. RefSeq annotates it as small nucleolar RNA Z279/snoR105/snoR108. The transcript has a single exon. The record is from RefSeq and is a predicted model, not a curated record. NCBI's taxonomy places the organism in Eukaryota, Viridiplantae, Streptophyta, Magnoliopsida, Solanales, Solanaceae.